Molecule: non-coding RNA, 24 nt
Filed under: Arabidopsis thaliana (thale cress)
Lineage: Eukaryota; Viridiplantae; Streptophyta; Magnoliopsida; Brassicales; Brassicaceae
Source: RNAcentral
ACUUGUGAUCGAGUGAAGGCAGCU